RNAcentral lists this ribosomal RNA (440 nucleotides) under uncultured bacterium. Its description in RNAcentral is "bacterial SSU rRNA". It matches the Rfam family "Bacterial small subunit ribosomal RNA", at positions 338 to 790 of the family's 1533-position model. The record is from RNAcentral.
CCUACGGGAGGCAGCAGUGGGGAAUAUUGCACAAUGGGCGCAAGCCUGAUGCAGCGACGCCGCGUGAGGGAUGACGGCCUUCGGGUUGUAAACCUCUGUUAGCAUCGAAGAAGCGAAAGUGACGGUAGGUGCAGAGAAAGCGCCGGCUAACUACGUGCCAGCAGCCGCGGUAAUACGUAGGGCGCGAGCGUUGUCCGGAAUUAUUGGGCGUAAAGAGCUUGUAGGCGGUUGGUCGCGUCUGCUGUGAAAGGCCGGGGCUUAACUCCGGUUUUGCAGUGGGUACGGGCUAACUAGAGUGCAGUAGGGGAGACUGGAAUUCCUGGUGUAGCGGUGGAAUGCACAGAUAUCAGGAGGAACACCGAUGGCGAAGGCAGGUCUCUGGGCUGUAACUGACGCUGAGAAGCGAAAGCAUGGGGAGCGAACAGGAUUAGAUACCCUGG